GAUCAUGGCUCAGGACGAACGCUGGCGGCGCGCCUAACACAUGCAAGUCGAACGAGAGAGAGGGAGCUUGCUUCCUCAAUCGAGUGGCGAACGGGUGAGUAACGCGUGAGGAACCUGCCUCAAAGAGGGGGACAACAGUUGGAAACGACUGCUAAUACCGCAUAAGCCCACGGUGCCGCAUGGCACAGAGGGAAAAGGAGCAAUCCGCUUUGAGAUGGCCUCGCGUCCGAUUAG
This 234-nucleotide ribosomal RNA is filed under the name uncultured bacterium. RNAcentral describes it as "partial 16S ribosomal RNA". It matches the Rfam family "Bacterial small subunit ribosomal RNA", at positions 15 to 244 of the family's 1533-position model. The record is from RNAcentral.